This is a long non-coding RNA of Solanum verrucosum, 811 nucleotides long. RefSeq lists it as uncharacterized. The transcript has 3 exons. The record is from RefSeq and is a predicted model, not a curated record. Lineage: Eukaryota; Viridiplantae; Streptophyta; Magnoliopsida; Solanales; Solanaceae.
AUCCUUGGAUGUUCUAUCAAACAUGUUGCCUGUGAAGCUAAAGAACUGUUGCUUGGCACGACAUCUCAGGUGGGUUUGUGAUGAAUUUUACAACCACCAGUUCGAAGGAAGCAAAUGCACUUCAAGUACUUUCUAGUUUUCCUCAAACACAAACAAGUAAAAAAAAAAUUGAUUUACAUACUUCACUUCUAAAGCUAUACUCUGAUCUUAUUGAUCUUUUGGUUUGCAUAUAUAAUCCGGAAGCCCAAACAAGGUCUUACAUUCUCUGAAAGAGUUUCUGCUGAGAAUCGCCCUUGUGCAUCCCAGUGUCUCCUUCAAAAUUGUUGAUAUUGAAAGUGAGGAUGACCUGCUUUGCACAGGUGUUUCUCCUUCUCCGUUGCCACUAUUGUCCAGUGGGUUUGGGAUUCAUCUGAGUUCCCUUAACAAAUUGAGUGCAAGCAAUUGUUCAUUCAAGCUUUCAGGAUACAUCUCAGGCCAAGUGUGAAAAUGAAACUUGUUAACAUCUGGAAUAGCAAAUUACAAGCUCAAGGGGAGUGCACAAGUACACGCAAUGGGAAGUCAAAAGAAGAUAAACCAUUCCUGUCAUUUGUUCCUGACCUGAAUAAGAAUUAAGAGCUGAAUGUUUCAGUCAAUUAGCUGCAUUUCUUUCUCCAACUUCUCAAGAUUAUCUUAGACUGCAUUCUUAUUAAUCAUGAAAGCCUUAGAGAUUACAAUGUCUAUUUCUUAGUCUCCUGCACUACAUAGUCUCUUUCAAAUUCCAUCUUGCAUAUGUUCUGAUUUUUGUAACAGAAUUGUCAUGCCUGGCUUUUUU